This 406-nucleotide ribosomal RNA is filed under the name uncultured bacterium. RNAcentral's name for it is "partial 16S ribosomal RNA". It matches the Rfam family "Bacterial small subunit ribosomal RNA", at positions 30 to 526 of the family's 1533-position model. The record is from RNAcentral.
AUUGAACGCUGGCGGCAGGCUUAACACAUGCAAGUCGAGCGAGCGGCGGACGGGUGAGUAAUGUCUGGGAAACUGCCUGAUGGAGGGGGAUAACUACUGGAAACGGUAGCUAAUACCGCAUACCAUCAAAUUUGCCCAGAUGGGAUUAGCUAGUAGGUGGGGUAAUGGCUCACCUAGGCGACGAUCCCUAGCUGGUCUGAGAGGAUGACCAGCCACACUGGAACGGAGACACGGUCCAGACUCCUACGGGAGGCAGCAGUGGGGAAUAUUGCACAAUGGGCGAAAGCCGGAUGCAGCCAUGCCGCGUGUGUGAAGAAGGCCUUCGGGUUGUAAAGCACUUUCAGCGAGGAGGCGGUACUCGAAGAGGAAGCAACGGCUAACUACGUGCCAGCAGCCGCGGUAAUAC